UGAACUGUAGUUUUUUUGUUUUUUUUUUUAUUUUUGCAAUCAUUGGACAUUAUAAUUAUGGUUUUGAUUUAUUCUUUUGAUGAUUCUAUCAACUUCAUUUUAUAUCUUUGCAGUUUACAGAAGGUAUUUCUCUUUUUUUGUACAACGUCAGUAGACGACAGAAUUUUUAGGCACAUAAUACCACGAAAUCCAUAAAACUAUGAUAUAGCGAUAAUAUUAGACAGACUCCCAAACUUCAAAACUUUCACUCAUUAUGAAGGAAAUUUAUCGGCCUAGACAUCAAGUGCAUAUGAAAUUUUCAAAACGUGCUCUACAAUCUUGCAUUAUCACUUGGAAUAGCAUUCAAAAGUUGUUACUUUGGUAAAAAGGUGCAAGUAUAAAUCUAUGUCAAACAGUAAAAUUAAACCAACCAUUCCACAUGCUUAUGUGUCCUGGCAGUGUUGUUACUUUGGUCAAAUGUGCAGCCCUCCUGAACAAAAUCUCUAAAAGGGAGAAGUCAAAACAAAAAGACGAACAGACACAACAGUCUGCAAAUCUCUCAACAGAAAACAAUUAUUGAGCCAUAAAAACUACACCAAACAAUGGAGGUGAAAUCGGUGCUAUCUGCUCUGAGAUUUUUGUCCUAAAGUUUGUUUGUUUUUUUUAAACAAGGAAUUAGUAACCAUGAACAAAUGGCAUGGAGCAUUAACAAAGAGUGUAACCUUUACGUUCAACGUUACAUUGUGACCUUAUUCGCAACAAGUAUUCUAGUGUUUCUGAACAAUCAAACAGAGUAUCAUCAUUGAACGCUAAACAAUACUCAGGAUCAUUGGGAUGUGUUUUAAUUUAAACGAUUUAUGAUUGAUGUUUUGUUGACAAUGAACAUUAAGUCUGCGAUAUUAAACAGAAAUAUAGACCUUCACCUUCAAGCUAGAGAUUCAAGUCUUAUGUACAUGUAGAUCUUGUAGUAUUGUUAAUAUCACCUUGAACUCCGAGUGGUAAUUCAAUUUAGAUUUAGAGAUGACUGCAAGUAUUUGAAACAUCAAACUAUGUGUUAUACAAAAUUGAUCACGUGUAAACCUUUACCUUCAAGCUGAAAUUCCCUGCCUUGUCCAUUACACACCUUCUGCUGGUUCACAUGAGAAAUAUUAUACAGUUGCAUCAACGAGUAAUGAGCUGUUUGCUGUUCUCAUGAUACAAGCUUUGGAAGGAAAAUAAUUUUCUACUGUUUAUUUGGUGAUCCAACUGAAAUUCCAAUAUGGUUAAACGAAAUUUAGAGAAUUUAGCGAUAGGGUUUGAUGUUGGAUAGCGACAAUAUAAAAGACUAUUGAUGUGGGGACCUUGGACUAGUAGACAUAUAACCGCCAUAGAGCAGCUGCAAUUGCGUAUUUCUUUAGCUCAGUUGGCGGAGCGAUGGCUUACUAUAUAUAGUCUUGGGUUCUAACUCCGGAUGGUACAGUGGUAAUUUGGGAGCAAAAUCAUGCUCCGCUGUUGCACAUUCAAUAGAACAAAUAUAUAUUUACUUAU
This is a long non-coding RNA of Mytilus californianus (California mussel), 1506 nucleotides long. RefSeq lists it as uncharacterized. The record is from RefSeq and is a predicted model, not a curated record. The transcript is spliced from 3 exons. Lineage: Eukaryota; Metazoa; Mollusca; Bivalvia; Mytilida; Mytilidae.